AACAUGGAAGCAAAUUAUUGAUGUUUUCACUUUCUUUGUAAAUACCAAGCCUCUGAAGUCCACUGUGUGUCUUACAAUUGCUUCAGGGCUCUCUUCCGACCAGCACAUUUCACGUUGCCAUAGUGGACAGUUCUAGAAGCUUCUGGGGUUAGAAGACAGCCACAUCCAUCCCUUCAGCGUGCAUUUACUGAGAAGCUGCGAUCUGCUGCACGGGUUUCGGGUGCGAGAAGGAAAGUCACCUUCUCUGUCUCCCCGGGGGUUGGUGUGCCUGUGACAGGUCACUCAUUCGUUCGUCAUCCGUGCCUCGACCAGCGUCUGUCGAGCACCCGUAACCUGCCAAGCUCCAUUCCAGGUGCUAGAGAUACAGCUGUGAACAAAACAGACCCGGUCCCUGGGCCGGCAGCUCGGAGGUGAACUGGGCAAACAUACAAGGAGGCGAUUACAAGUCCCCAGGAGGCAGGGCGGUGGGAGGCCGGAGGAGAGGGGCCGAACUCAACCCAGCUCAGCAGGCUUGCCAGACGGACCCUUGGGCUUGGGAGAGGGGGGUAGGUGUUGGGAGGGUGUGGAGGAGGAGGAGUGGCUCGGGGCCGAGGGAACAGCAAACCCUAGGGUCCAAUGGGGAGCGGGGACCUCUGGACGACCGGCACAUUCUUCCAGACGCGGAUGCUGCUGGAGAGCGAGGGACACAGGAGGACGUGGAAGGCAUCCAGAGGGCCUGUGCGGGCUACCUACGGUAUGCGAAGGUGUCUGGAAUGCUCUAGAGGUUCUCCCAAAGGCAUCGAGGAAUGCUUGAAGAUACCGCCUCCUACGACCUUGCUCAAGCCGCUUUUCCUUCCCCACUCCCCAUUCUCUCCUCGAAUAAUGGGAAACUCACACCCUCAGCUCUCUCGUCUUCCAUUUGGGCCAGUUUGCACCAGAGUGGGAACCCUGGCCCCAGGCUUCUCUGAGGGGUCCUGAGGUGACAGAUUGAGGUGUACGAAGCUGACACAGAAGAGGGUCACCCCCCUCCUCACUGGUGUCCCCACAGAUCCCCACCCCCACCCCGGGCUCUUCUCGCAAGCACAAGGGCCACGUCCCUUCCCUUCCCGUCACCCUUGGCGAGGCCAGCCAGGCUUGCGUGGUCAGCCUCCCCCUGCUCACGUGCCUUCCUCUCGUCCCCACCACUUUCCCGCCAGGCUGGCUGUCUUCAUUUUCCCUGGGGGUCUUUGCACAUGCUGUUCCCUCUUCCUGGAAUGCUCUUCCCCACUCCCUUCCCCCUUUGCAGACUGGCUCCUGGAUGGCCUUCAGAUGUCGGCGAAGCUGCCUUUGCAACGUGGCUCACAACUUGUCAUAAUUUUUUGUUUGUUUCCGUUUACCGUCUGUCCCCUCACGCGCACACAGGAGACCGUGAGUUCUCGCCCCGGCUCCCCAGCAUCUAGAACCGCGCCCAGCACGGAGAGGCACCCAGCAGACCUGCGCUGAAGGAAUAAAUGAAGUUUUAAAACUUCC
This is a long non-coding RNA of Herpailurus yagouaroundi (jaguarundi), 1488 nucleotides long. RefSeq lists it as uncharacterized. The record is from RefSeq and is a predicted model, not a curated record. The transcript is spliced from 2 exons. Lineage: Eukaryota; Metazoa; Chordata; Mammalia; Carnivora; Felidae.